This 456-nucleotide ribosomal RNA is filed under the name uncultured bacterium. RNAcentral describes it as "bacterial SSU rRNA". It matches the Rfam family "Bacterial small subunit ribosomal RNA", at positions 340 to 786 of the family's 1533-position model. The record is from RNAcentral.
UACGGAAGGCAGCAGUGGGGAAUAUUGCACAAUGGGCGAAAGCCUGAUGCAGCUAUGCCGCGUGUAUGAAGAAGGCCUUAGGGUUGUAAAGUACUUUCAUCGGGGAGGAAAAACAAAACUAAUAAUUUUAUUUCUUGACGUUACCCGAAAAAGAAGCACCGGCUAACUCCGUGCCAGCAGCCGCGGUAAUACGGAGGGUGCUAGCGUUAAUCAGAAUUACUGGGCGUAAAGAGCACGUAGGUGGUUUUUUUAAGUCAGAUGUGAAAUCCCUGGGCUUAACCUAGGAACUGCAUUUUGAAACUGAAAUACUAGAGUAUCGUAGAGGGAGGUAGAAUUCUAGGUGUAGCGGUGAAAUGCGUAGAUAUCUGGAGGAAUACCUGUGGCGAAAGCGGCCUCCUAAACGAAUACUGACACUGAGGUGCGAAAGCGGUGGGGAGCAAACAGGGAUUAGAUACC